AACGGGACAAAUGAAAUAUUUUAUUGUGAAGCUAAAGCUGUGUGACUGCUCAUCAUGCUUUUUUACAUUGCUUAUUAAUAAAAUGGUGUUUAACAUUUCAGAAAACAUAUUAAAAGAACAAUGAAACAAAAGUGCUCCAAAACAACAAAAUACAAGAAUUAAUCCCAUCCCAGACUGGAGUCCAAUAUAUUUAAUGGGGGUGGGGUUUACUCUUUUGUCUCCACCUUUGGUCUUUGUCACUUUAAUCCAGAUUUCUGAAAAACACUGGCUAGCCCUUCACAUGAAUAAAAAUUAGAAUCAUGGCAAAAACCAGUUUCUGUAUUUCCAGUCCCUCUGAUAGGUGUGCGACUAUUAGAUAAAGUACUUACUUCCCCACUCCUAAUGGUAAAGAACUCACAGAACUGGGAGGCUACGCCCCUAGCCUCUUAGAAGAAUACACCUGUAUUAACCAGCUACAAAGAAUGCUGACUUUUUUCCUCAAAUCCACUUCUCUGAAACAGGACUAAGUGGUGAAUCUUAUGAAGGUGAGGAGAGUCUUACAGCAAAACAAGAUUGAUCACUGUAGUUUCCAGACAUCAUGUCAAGAAUUUGCAAAUCGAAAUAUCAAACUCUGCAGAACCCAGUGUUUAGCCAAUAUAUUUAAUCCACUGGAGUGUAACUUGCCGAUUAUUGCCGAACUCAGGAGGUAGUUAUUGACAAGUAAACAGUUUCCACUCUAAGACAGUUAACGAUUUACAUGAGAAGCAGGAAAAACACAAUGCAUAUUUCCCCAUACUUCAGAAGAUGAUUUUGUAUUUGCAGGAAGCAACGGUUUAACUUCCUCAUCCUGUGGAAUUGUAGUUACGAUAUUUGAAAGAAAAAAUACUGAAAAGAGUAUUUCAAGAAAAAACUCUAAAAGAACAUAACUGAUUCUUUGGUCAUCUCUUGGGAUGACCAACAGAUCAUGAAAAUUCACAGAGGUGAGUAAAACAACAUCCAACACUAAAUAGCAGCUUCAGAGAACCCAACAAUGAAACCAGCAACUGCCUCUAAUUAGCACUACGACUGAGAUAACUAGUUGCAUUCACUACCUGCUUGAUGCUUUUCAUUCUACUUUGGAUAUCUGAUAGAAGUCCCCAACAACUAAAACCAUCACAGAAGCUUGAGACUGCCACAGACAAUGAAUGAAAAUCUGCAACCUACCAUAGCACUUGCCACCUCCCAAAGCUGCCACACACACAAGCAUCACUAAAGCACUGGAGUAGCCAGAUAAGCACAUCUUAAGCGCAACAAUGCACUAUCCAUUUCUUGGGUAGGAAAGCACUGUAAGAAUCUAGGGCCCAAAUUCUCACAUGGGUGGUUAAGGAAGCCCCAAGAAGAAUGCUGCUUUCCAUACCAGUUGCAGAACAGACAUCCCAGUUAAGUUUGCUAGCAUAUCUCACUCGAGCAUUCCCAGUGCAAGUACUUAAAUUUCACAAGAUGGACUUGGCAGCAGUGCCAAGAAGAGCUAAAAAAAUGCUUGUUUAGAAUAGAAAAACUAUUUAUUCUACACCAGAAGGUAAGGUUAAUUGUCUAAGUAUAAAAUCUGUCAUUUUGAAAACAUAUGAGAGCAUCCUAACAGUGAAAUCUGCAAUGGCCUCUAAUUAGUGCAGCGACAACAAAUUCUUCCCUCUAUUGAGAUCCCAUUCUUCUCCAUUUUGAAGUGUUACUAUCACAUUUAUCAUCUACAUAAAGUAAGUUGCAGGGCCAUAUUUAACAAAAUUGUUUUAGUGACUGACUUUCUGAAGUAGUUAGUAAGACAUCUCAGGGGCAGAAUGCCUUGUUUCUAACAACCUAAGCUGUGUAAAGUCUAAGAAACUAACAGGACACAGACUUACAUGUACAUAAAUAUCCUAGUUUAAGGCUUAUGUUGAAUAUUCAGUGUUGUUUUUAGUGUUCACUGAAAAGUGUUUACUUGUCUGAGCCACAAGUGGGGAACCUGUACAGGUUUGGUGCACUCUACAGAAAAGUCAAUGUUAGGUAAGGGGAACAUCAUAACACACAACAAAUUCUCAUUUUAAGGAGAAAGAGGACCACACAGUGCUUCAGUUAAGUUUUUCCUUCCUGUUAUGCCACCAAAAGCAGCAACACCACCCAAGCAGCAUUCUGCAUGCUCUUCCAACACCCAAAAAGUCAGAAGAUGGUACGUUUCCUGCUUAAUAAAAAGAGAAGGUUGUUAAAAAAACAGGAGGCUUGGGUGUUUUUUUUCCCCUCCCUCCAGUAACUGCUACACUUCAAGUCAGUAAAACACACUAGCAGACUGCCAGACAAGCUGCUUCCCCACCAUUGCAAGAAAGUGGGUCAGGUCACUCAUUAAUAAUGGGCAGAUUCACAAAGAAAAAAAAAAAAAAAAAGAGGCAGUCUAGAAAACAGAUGUAAUGCCACUCUUUGCAAAGGUUAAAAGCAUCCAAGCUGCUGUCCCGCUUAUCCUAUCCUAAUUCAAGAUACUGUAUUUUAUGGUAAAUAUAGUUGCGAAGUUUUAUAUAAAAUAUAAAAUACAGGUAAUUGAGGGUUUUCUGGGGAGGGGAUGGUGGUGGUGGUGCAUAUUUUUGGGUUGGUUCUUUUUUCAGAUCUGCCUUUAUACACAGUUAAUCCAACAGCUAGGUAAAAAUAACUGAGCUGGUAGUUCGUCACUACAUGUAAAUCAAGAAACCAGAAGAGGCGAGAUAACGUCUUGGGGGAACAGAAUUAUUCUUAAAAGACGCUAUUCAGAAGACAGCAUAAGACAGACAUUUAAAGGUGAUCUAUGAACUAAACAGCACUUGGUCAUGGGCCAGCAGCUGUGGGGCAAACUGAUGUUACGGAACGAAAUUAUUACUGUGUUCCAACACUAAUUUAUAGAGCUGCAGUUCAUCCAUUAUGCAGAAAAUAAUCAGGGUGGAAUAGAUAAUCAAAAAGCCAUGGAUGGUACCAAUCACACAGAUUCUCUUGAUCAGAACUAGAUGUACAAACAAGGGACAGGGCUAGUCCCUUUUCUUUUUGAAGUAGCAGCUCUGACUUAUGACCCUUUGUGAUGCAUAUUGGUGGUCUUUUAGCAGAUGGGAACUCUACCUCAACAUUACAGGUACCUAUUGCAUGCCGACAGGUAUGUAUUUGAAAUAAAUACCAGUAUAUUCCUCAAAAUUAAGUAGAGGAAAACAGAAUUUGGUAAUUUAGCAUAAGCUAAAUACGUAGGAACACUCAAACCCAGAAGAGUUCAAAUUUCAAAAUUCUCAUUUGCAAAGGAUCUCAAGGAAAGUUUACAAGCUUUAUGUAGAAGACCACCAAGGGCCUUUCCCAGCUGUUCAGCUAUUUGGCAGAUUCUAAUAAAGCAGUAAUAUUCAUGUGCAGCACUAUGAAAUCUAUGACAAACAUGGAUCAAGUCAGCCAGGAAUCUCCAACAACAGAGCUGGUCUACUGGAGACAGAACUAAUGCAAAGCAAGCAAGAUGUAAGAUUUAAAACUGAAAUCUUUUAGCAUUUCUCACUUCUCCAGGAAAAGUGUGUCAGGGGAACAGGAGUCACAUAUUUCAUUUACAUCAGACAUACAUUUGAGAGAGUCAUACACUUAGAAGGCUAGAAUGGGUUUGGUUAGACU
This is a long non-coding RNA of Strigops habroptila (Kakapo), 3594 nucleotides long. The record is from Ensembl. NCBI's taxonomy places the organism in Eukaryota, Metazoa, Chordata, Aves, Psittaciformes, Psittacidae.